UUCCCCUAGUAACGGCGAGUGAAGAGGGAAAAGCCCAGCACCGAAGCCUGCGGCAGUUUUGCUGUUAGGCAAUGUGGUGUUUGGGUCGGCUAGUGGGAUUGCCACUCCACUCGAAAGUCCAGCAUUGAGUAUGGUCACUGGAUUUGGCCCAGAGAGGGUGAAAGGCCCGUACGGGUGGAGGUUCAGACAUGUAAGGCAAUUCACCAGGCCGGCCUUAGAGUCGGGUUGUUUGUGAAUGCAGCCCAAAGCGGGUGGUAAACUCCAUCCAAGGCUAAAUACAAGCACGAGUCCGAUAGCGAACAAGUACCGUGAGGGAAAGUUGAAAAGUACUUUGAAGAGAGAGUAAACAGUACGUGAAACCGCAUGCAGGUAAACGGGUGGCGUCAAGCUGCAAGCCCAGAGGAUUCAGCUGGCUAGUGUGUUGUGUAUGCGCCUGGCGCAUCAAUCAGUCAGAGUAAGAUUGUGUAGUCCACUGGAUAACGGUGGGCCCGGCCGCAAGGUUGGGACAUGUGUACCGGAUGGUAGCCGGAGCAUAUUACACGUCUAUGGGACUGCCUAGCCAGUGCACUUCUCUGUGGUGAACACCACGACCGGUGGUAUUGCCAGUCUGCUGUAGUCAAGUCGUGUUCAGUCGGUUCUCGUAAUCAAUUGGAUGCGAUCACAGGCAAACUCAGUAAACGGCGUAGGGACGUUUCGGCGACUCUGCGUGUUAUCGGCUACUGGUUGUCAACGGGCCGGCCUGAUGAUUGUUGUAAUCGUCCAUCGGGUGGUUCGGUGGGCUAUGGUGGUAUGAAUAACUGUGCAAGGCACCGGAGUUCUCGACCUCAAAUGCAUCCUGCGCACACAUUACAAGUGGAGUGGGGUGCCGUUGCGUCCUGCCUAUUGUUAGGUCUGAUUGUCGUGUCGCCCGCGCAAAGUGGGCCCGGCAGUGGCCUGAUAUGGGAUGGGGCGUGGAUGGUGCUUCCUGUGCGGGGUGUGGUGGGUGAAAUAGUCAGUGGUGUAGUGGUAGACGAGCUACCCGACCCGUCUUGAAACACGGACCAAGGAGUUUAACAUGUAUGCGAGUCAAUGGGCGUUACGAAACCCAAAGGCGCAGUGAAAGUAAAGCUUCGACUUGUUCUCGGAGUGAGGUGAGAUCCUGCUGUUACUCGCAUCAGCCUCUUGUCAGCAUCAGGCUAAGAGCGGUAGGCGCAUCACCGGCCCGUCCCAUGAUGUGGCCAUUGGAUGUCUGCGGUUGUUGCUUGCGGCAGCUGUGGUGCCAGUGCGUCAUUCGGGGCGGAG
This 1281-nucleotide ribosomal RNA is filed under the name Tetraphyllidea sp. 4 NB-2015. RNAcentral describes it as "eukaryotic LSU rRNA". It matches the Rfam family "Eukaryotic large subunit ribosomal RNA", at positions 75 to 794 of the family's 3401-position model. Lineage: Eukaryota; Metazoa; Platyhelminthes; Cestoda; Tetraphyllidea. RNAcentral also lists the same sequence under 1 other name. The record is from RNAcentral.